CAACCCUCAAGCUUCUGCUUGGUAUUGGGCUUCAUCCCGUCUAAAGGAUGUGCCUAAAACUCAUUGGCGGUUGCACUUAGCUCCCUUGCGUAGUUAUAUUUUUUCUCGCUUGGAAAUUUAGGUGUGACCCGCCUGAGAACCCCCCAUAUUUCUCAAG
This 157-nucleotide unclassified non-coding RNA is filed under the name uncultured Helicoma. RNAcentral describes it as "sequence contains ITS2". Lineage: Eukaryota; Fungi; Ascomycota; Dothideomycetes; Tubeufiales; Tubeufiaceae. The record is from RNAcentral.